UCUUGCACAAUGGGGGAAACCCUGAUGCAGCGCCGCCGCGUCAGCGAAGAAGUAUCUCGGUAUGUAAAGCUCUAUCAGCAGGGAAGAAGAUGACGGUACCUGACUAACAAGCUCCGGCUAAAUACGUGCCAGCAGCCGCGGUAAUACGUAUGGAGCAAGCGUUAACCGGAUUUACUGGGUGUAAAGGGAGCGUAGGCGGCCUGGCAAGUCUGGUGUGAAAUACCGGGGCCCAGCCCCGGGACUGCAUUGGAAACUGCCAGGCUGGAGUGUCGGAGGGGCAGGCGGAAUUCCUAGUGUAGCGGUGAAAUGCGUAGAUAUUAGGAGGAACACCGGUGGCGAAGGCGGCCUGCUGGACGACAACUGACGCUGAGGCUCGAAAGCGUGGGGAGCAAACAGG
RNAcentral lists this ribosomal RNA (397 nucleotides) under uncultured bacterium. RNAcentral's name for it is "bacterial SSU rRNA". It matches the Rfam family "Bacterial small subunit ribosomal RNA", at positions 362 to 776 of the family's 1533-position model. The record is from RNAcentral.